AGAGUUUGAUCCUGGCUCAGGACGAACGCUGGCGGCGUGCCUAAUACAUGCAAGUCGAGCGGACAGAUAAGGAGCUUGCUCCUUUGACGUUAGCGGCGGACGGGUGAGUAACACGUGGGCAACCUACCCUAUAGUUUGGGAUAACUCCGGGAAACCGGGGCUAAUACCGAAUAAUCUUUUGUCUCUCAUGAGACAAUUCUGAAAGACGGCAUCUCGCUGUCGCUAUAGGAUGGGCCCGCGGCGCAUUAGCUAGUUGGUGAGGUAACGGCUCACCAAGGCAACGAUGCGUAGCCGACCUGAGAGGGUGAUCGGCCACACUGGGACUGAGACACGGCCCAGACUCCUACGGGAGGCAGCAGUAGGGAAUCUUCCACAAUGGGCGAAAGCCUGAUGGAGCAACGCCGCGUGAGUGAAGAAGGAUUUCGGUUCGUAAAACUCUGUUGUAAGGGAAGAACAAGUACAGUAGUAACUGGCUGUACCUUGACGGUACCUUAUUAGAAAGCCACGGCUAACUACGUGCCAGCAGCCGCGGUAAUACGUAGGUGGCAAGCGUUGUCCGGAUUUAUUGGGCGUAAAGGGAACGCAGGCGGUCUUUUAAGUCUGAUGUGAAAGCCUUCGGCUUAACCGGAGAUGUGCAUUGGAAACUAGAAGACUUGAGUGCAGAAGAGGAGAGUGGAACUCCAUGCGUAGCGGUGAAAUGCGUAGAUAUAUGGAAGAACACCAGUGGCGAAAGCGGCUCCCUGGUCUGUAACUGACGCUGAGGUUCGAAAGCGUGGGUAGCGAACAGGAUUAGAUACCCUGGUAGU
Molecule: ribosomal RNA, 806 nt
Filed under: uncultured bacterium
Lineage: Bacteria
Description: bacterial SSU rRNA
Rfam family: Bacterial small subunit ribosomal RNA
Source: RNAcentral